Molecule: ribosomal RNA, 212 nt
Filed under: uncultured bacterium
Lineage: Bacteria
Description: partial 16S ribosomal RNA
Rfam family: Bacterial small subunit ribosomal RNA
Source: RNAcentral
AGUUCGGAUUGUAGUCUGNAACCCGGCCUACAUGAAGCUGGAAUCGCUAGUAAUCGCGGAUCAGAAUGCCGCGGUGAAUACGUUCCCGGGUCUUGUACACACCGCCCGUCACACCAUGGGAGUCGGAAAUGCCCGAAGUCUGUGACCCAACCUCAGGGAGGGAGCAGCCGAAGGUAGGAUUGGCGACUGGGGUGAAGUCGUAACAAGGUAAC